UGAAGGAAAAACGCACAGUCUUAGCAGG
RNAcentral lists this non-coding RNA (28 nucleotides) under Rattus norvegicus (Norway rat). Lineage: Eukaryota; Metazoa; Chordata; Mammalia; Rodentia; Muridae. The record is from RNAcentral.